GUUAAACUAUCGGGGUAUUUUCAGAUGUUAAACAUCCGAAAAUUCCUUAAUUUUGGAUGUUCAGCAUCCGAAAAUAGGAAAUUUAACAUCUAACUUUAGGCCUAUUUUCGGAUGAUGAACAUCCAAAAAUCCCACAAAUUCAAAUGUUCAACAUCAGAAAAAAGGUAAAGUGGUUUGUUUAACAAAAUUACGUUAUAAAAGGUAAAAAACAGACGUACAUUUAAUAACAUAAACUAUUUUGGUAAUAACGCAAAGUAUAACAGAUUUUUAUGUAAUUUUCUCAUUACCCUUUUUUGACCGACGAACCUGAAAAAAAAUUAUGGGACCUUGAUCCAAACUUGGACCGGAU
This 349-nucleotide long non-coding RNA is filed under the name Amborella trichopoda. RNAcentral describes it as "long non-coding RNA (ATRI_LNC005065)". Lineage: Eukaryota; Viridiplantae; Streptophyta; Magnoliopsida; Amborellales; Amborellaceae. The record is from RNAcentral.